UGGGGAAUAUUGCACAAUGGGCGCAAGCCUGAUGCAGCCAUGCCGCGUGUAUGAAGAAGGCCUUCGGGUUGUAAAGUACUUUCAGCGGGGAGGAAGGGAGUAAAGUUAAUACCUUUGCUCAUUGACGUUACCCGCAGAAGAAGCACCGGCUAACUCCGUGCCAGCAGCCGCGGUAAUACGGAGGGUGCAAGCGUUAAUCGGAAUUACUGGGCGUAAAGCGCACGCAGGCGGUUUGUUAAGUCAGAUGUGAAAUCCCCGGGCUCAACCUGGGAACUGCAUCUGAUACUGGCAAGCUUGAGUCUCGUAGAGGGGGGAAGAAUUCCAGGUGUAGCGGUGAAAUGCGUAGAGAUCUGGAGGAAUACCGGUGGCGAAGGCGGCCCCCUGGACGAAGACUGACGCUCAGGUGCGAAAGCGUGGGGAGCAAACAGG
RNAcentral lists this ribosomal RNA (429 nucleotides) under Chloroflexota bacterium. RNAcentral's name for it is "Chloroflexi bacterium partial 16S ribosomal RNA". It matches the Rfam family "Bacterial small subunit ribosomal RNA", at positions 355 to 776 of the family's 1533-position model. Lineage: Bacteria; Bacillati; Chloroflexota. The record is from RNAcentral.